Molecule: ribosomal RNA, 246 nt
Filed under: uncultured bacterium
Lineage: Bacteria
Description: partial small subunit ribosomal RNA
Rfam family: Bacterial small subunit ribosomal RNA
Source: RNAcentral
AGAAUCAACGCUGGCGGCGUGCCUAACACAUGCAAGUCGCACGAGAAAGGGGAGCAAUCCCUGAGUACAGUGGCGCACGGGUGAGUAACACGUGAAUAAUCUACCUCCGAGUGGGGAAUAACUGAGAGAAAUCUUAGCUAAUACCGCAUAACACUUACGAGUCAAGGCAGCAAUGCGCUUGGAGAGGGAGUUCGCGGCCGAUUAGUUAGUUGGCGGGGUAAUGGCCCACCAAGACGAUGAUCGGUA